This 2464-nucleotide long non-coding RNA is filed under the name Homo sapiens (human). RNAcentral describes it as "HSALNT0077215". Lineage: Eukaryota; Metazoa; Chordata; Mammalia; Primates; Hominidae. The record is from RNAcentral.
CUUCACAUAAUGACAGCAAUUUCUCUGAACUAAAUGUUAAUUAAUAAGGCCUGUAAUACUAUGAGAAGGAAAUGGUGGCAAUUGGCAAAUGGAACUCUGUUGCUUGGUAACAAAACCUGAGGCAAAAAGGUGAGGAAGCAGAGAAUUAUUUUUGAAUGGCUACUGCUUAAAGAGUUGCCUGCGUGAGGUUUGGUGGCAAGAAGCAGAAGUCAGAGCCUGUGGUUCCUGUUGCUCUUCGGCGGUAUGAAAGAGAGAAGAAGGCGUGCUUCAUUAUAUGAAGCUUUGCUCCUAAGGCCAAGUCCUUUAACCUCAUGACCAUCCCAUUUCUGAACCCAUACAUUUUCCAGGAACUCUCAGUUUUUCACUGAGAACAGCAAGUGUGGCAAGAAUAAAGAGCACAACAGUUGCCGUGAAGGCCAUCCCCACCACGUGGGUGUUUCCUGAGUGAGAUGACUUGCACACACAGUGCCAGGUAGGAGGAGAGAAAAAACCCUCAUUAAACAGCUAUCACUGACAAGGAUUCAAGAUAAUAGGAUUCUCACAAUGAAACUACCAUUCAGUCAUCAAAGCUGAAAGCACUGGAGGGGAAAUAUCUGUCACAAAGGAACUAAUAUCUUUAAAAGAUUAGAUUUAUUUAUGCAUCUAAUUUGAAGUUUAUUACCUCAAAGCAUCUGCUCCAUGGUUACAUCGUGAAUCCUAGACUGGCUCAAAGGCCAAAAGUUGGUAAUAAUCCAAAUCCAUCAACAAUAGAAGGAUUAAAAUUUGUGGUACAUUCAUCUUGUGAAAUGUUAUACAGCUACCUGCAACCAAAUGGAUGAAUCUUACACAACAUUGAGCAAAAACAGCAAAUCAGAAGAAUAAUUCAUUGUGAUUUCAUUGAUAUAAAAUGUAAAAGCAGGCAAAACUAAACAAUGGUAGAACAAGAGGGAAAAGGAAGGAAAUGAUCAUCUUCGAGUUAUAAUGAUGGUUACCGUUCUGUGGCAAGAACAAGAUUGAAAUUCCAUAAGGAUAGGUGGGAAAGGGUGGAGAUUUUCAGGUGUUGGCAAUGUUCUAUUUCUUAAGUUGGAUGGUGGUCCCAUAGAAGUCCAAUUUUUUUAAGCCUUUUUUUUUUCUUUUUUCUUUUUUUUUUUUUUUUUUGAGAUGGUGUCUUGCACUGUCACCCAGGCUGGAGUGCAAUGGCGCGAUCUUAGCUCACUGCAACCUCUGCAUCCUGGGUUCAAGCGAUUAUUCUCCCUCAGCCUCCCGAGUGGCAGGGAUUAUAGGCACCCACCACCAUGCCCAGCUAAUUUUUGUAUUUUUAGUAGAGACAGGGUUUCACCAUGUUGGCCAGGCUGGUCUCAAACUCCUGACCUCAAAUGAUCCACCCGCCUCAGCUUCCCAAAGUGCUGGGAUUACAGGCGUGAGCCACCACGCCUGACCAUUAAUGUUUUCUUCUUUAAUGUAAAUAUAUACGUAUUAUGUUCUUUUAUGAAAGUAUUUUAUAUUCUACAAUGUAAAAUGUUUAAUUUUUUAAAUUGCAUGAUAAUUUUCCCAUAAUUUGGUUUUAUAAAGCUCUAGAGAGAAAAGGAAAAGAAGCAACUUACUAAAAAUAUUCCCAAGGCAAAGACAAGGAACUGUGCCUCCACUCCUUCCUUUAGCUUGUAAGUUGCUUUGGGGCCCUGGGUUGCGAUUCUUAACCCACAGUGGAUGUUAAAUAAAUAUUUGAUGGUGUUGAGGGCUUAAGUAAUGGUUUAUGUAAACAUCAAGAGCUGCUGCUCAGAACAUAUUCUCAUGGCACAAUACUAAAUUGACCAGAGAGAUUUCACUGUGGUGUGCCUCAGACUGUAGAAUAUAAGGAAGUCUCAUUAACUUGUCAAGUUGACAGAGUUUGGGAAUUUGUUUUGUUGUUGCAAACCCACUGUUUGCAAAAUGAGUAUUCUCAUAUAUGGUCAGUAGGUCUGUAAAAUAGCACAUGUAAGAAGGGCAAUUUGGCAAUACUCAUUAAAAGCCUUCAAAAUAAUAGUCUUGACUCAGCAAUUUCACUUCUAAGAAUUAAUCGUAAAGAAGCCAUCAUGGAGUUUGUAUGUAAAGAUUUAGCUAUAAGGACAUUGUUUGUAAGAGUAAAAAAUGGGAAGCAACAUAGUUAUCUGACAACAUGGGACUUGUUAAACAGAUUGUGGUACACUCCAGUUGAAUUCCAGGCUGGGCGCGGUGGCUCACGUCUGUAAUCCCAGCACUUUGGGAGGCCUAGGCGGGCAGAUCACCUGAGGUCUGGAGUUCAAGAAGAGCCUAGCCAAUAUGGCAAAACCUCGUCUCUGCUAAAAAUACAAAAAUAAGAAAAAUUAGCCGGGUGUGGUGGUGCGUGCCCGUAGUCCCAGCUACUCAGGAGUCUGAGGCCUGUGAUGGCUUGAACCAGGGAGCCGGAGGUUGCAAUAAGCUGACGUCACACCACUGAACUCCAGCCUGGGCAACAGAACAAGACUCC